This is a non-coding RNA of Gossypium hirsutum (cotton), 144 nucleotides long. NCBI's taxonomy places the organism in Eukaryota, Viridiplantae, Streptophyta, Magnoliopsida, Malvales, Malvaceae. The record is from Rfam.
UGUUAAAAAUGCAUCCAUUUCUAUUGUUAAAAACUAGGGUAAUUAAUAAAAUAACCAGACAGUUACACGUGGCAUGCUGCGUGUACUUCAUGCCGACAUACAAAAACUAAUUUUAACCAGUAGAAAUAGAUGAAAUUUUUAACA